This is a long non-coding RNA of Ochlerotatus camptorhynchus, 251 nucleotides long. RefSeq lists it as uncharacterized. The record is from RefSeq and is a predicted model, not a curated record. The transcript has 2 exons. Lineage: Eukaryota; Metazoa; Arthropoda; Insecta; Diptera; Culicidae.
GAAAUCGCAGUGCCUGUGGAUGACAAAGAACUACCGGGGGACGUCGUUCGUGCUGGACGACGAAAGUUACUUUCCUCGGCCACAUCCCCCGAAGUAAAAUAUAAGUUUAAGCAUAAAUUUGAAAAAAAAAAAAGUUAUGCUGUACAUCGCCAUAUCGGACAGAGGGAUUUCAAAGCCGUGGUUCAAGCCGAGCGGUCUGGCCAUCAAUCAACAAGUGUACCAGGAGGAGUGUCUUGAGAAAAUUCUUCUGC